This 492-nucleotide ribosomal RNA is filed under the name uncultured bacterium. RNAcentral describes it as "partial 16S ribosomal RNA". It matches the Rfam family "Bacterial small subunit ribosomal RNA", at positions 29 to 507 of the family's 1533-position model. The record is from RNAcentral.
AGUGAACGCUGGCGGUAGGCCUAACGCAUGCAAGUCGAACGGCAGCACAGUAAGAGCUUGCUCUUACGGGUGGCGAGUGGCGGACGGGUGAGGAAUACAUCGGAAUCUACUUUUUCGUGGGGGAUAACGUAGGGAAACUUACGCUAAUACCGCAUACGACCUACGGGUGAAAGCAGGGGAUCUUCGGACCUUGCGCGAUUGAAUGAGCCGAUGUCGGAUUAGCUAGUUGGCGGGGUAAAGGCCCACCAAGGCGACGAUCCGUAGCUGGCCUGAGAGGAUGAUCAGCCACACUGGAACUGAGACACGGUCCAGACUCCUACGGGAGGCAGCAGUGGGGAAUAUUGGACAAUGGGCGCAAGCCUGAUCCAGCCAUACCGCGUGGGUGAAGAAGGCCUUCGGGUUGUAAAGCCCUUUUGUUGGGAAAGAAAAGCAGCAGGUUAAUACCCCGCUGUUCUGACGGUACCCAAAGAAUAAGCACCGGCUAACUUCGUG